Molecule: ribosomal RNA, 498 nt
Filed under: uncultured bacterium
Lineage: Bacteria
Description: partial 16S ribosomal RNA
Rfam family: Bacterial small subunit ribosomal RNA
Source: RNAcentral
GAUGAACGCUGGCGGCGUGCCUAAUACAUGCAAGUCGAGCGAAUGGAUUAAGAGCUUGCUCUUAUGAAGUUAGCGGCGGACGGGUGAGUAACACGUGGGUAACCUGCCCAUAAGACUGGGAUAACUCCGGGAAACCGGGGCUAAUACCGGAUAACAUUUUGAACCGCAUGGUUCGAAAUUGAAAGGCGGCUUCGGCUGUCACUUAUGGAUGGACCCGCGUCGCAUUAGCUAGUUGGUGAGGUAACGGCUCACCAAGGCAACGAUGCGUAGCCGACCUGAGAGGGUGAUCGGCCACACUGGGACUGAGACACGGCCCAGACUCCUACGGGAGGCAGCAGUAGGGAAUCUUCCGCAAUGGACGAAAGUCUGACGGAGCAACGCCGCGUGAGUGAUGAAGGCUUUCGGGUCGUAAAACUCUGUUGUUAGGGAAGAACAAGUGCUAGUUGAAUAAGCUGGCACCUUGACGGUACCUAACCAGAAAGCCACGGCUAACUACGU